UACAGAGGUCUCAACCGUUGUUCGGAUUCAUUGGGCGUAAAGGGUGCGUAGGCGGUCGCGCAAGUCGGAUGUGAAAUCUUAGGGCUCAACCCUGAAACUGCAUUCGAUACUGCGUGGCUCGAGUACUGGAGAGGAGACUGGAAUUUACGGUGUAGCAGUGAAAUGCGUAGAUAUCGGAAGGAACAUCAGUGGCGAAAGCGGCUUCCUGGACCAGUACCGACGUUCAGGCACGAAAGCGUGGGGAGCAAACAGG
Molecule: ribosomal RNA, 253 nt
Filed under: uncultured bacterium
Lineage: Bacteria
Description: partial 16S ribosomal RNA
Rfam family: Bacterial small subunit ribosomal RNA
Source: RNAcentral